Molecule: ribosomal RNA, 500 nt
Filed under: uncultured Glomeromycotina
Lineage: Eukaryota; Fungi; Glomeromycota
Description: partial small subunit ribosomal RNA
Rfam family: Eukaryotic small subunit ribosomal RNA
Source: RNAcentral
CCAAUAGCGUAUAUUAAAGUUGUUGCAGUUAAAAAGCUCGUAGUUGAAUUUCGGGGUCAGUAGGUUGGUCAUGCCACUGGUAUGUACUGGUCUCACUGAUUCCUCCUUCCUGAUGAGCCGUAAUGCCAUUAAUUUGGUGUUGCGAGGAAUCUGGACUGUUACUUUGAAAAAAUUAGAGUGUUUAAAGCAGGCUAACGCUUGAAUACAUUAGCAUGGAAUAAUGAAAUAGGACGUUCGAUCUUAUUUUGUUGGUUUCUAAGAUUGACGUAAUGAUUAAUAGGGAUAGUUGGGGGCAUUAGUAUUCAAUUGUCAGAGGUGAAAUUCUUGGAUUUAUUGAAGACUAACUACUGCGAAAGCAUUUGCCAAGGAUGUUUUCAUUAAUCAAGAACGAAAGUUAGGGGGUCGAAGACGAUCAGAUACCGUCGUAGUCUUAACCAUAAACUAUGCCGACUAGGGAUCGGAUGAUGUUAAUUUUUUAAUGACUCAUUCGGCGCCUUACG